UUUCUGUAGAACAUACUGAAUGUAGUGUCCUUCAAUGAAGCCUUGUAUCUUAAGUCAACAACAAGAGCAAGCGUGCUUGCCUUGUUGGAAGUUGGCAACACUGUCCCUGUGCUUGGAGGUUGUUUAGACAACCAGCAGCUCUGUUAAAUUCAUUAACAAAGUCCACAGAUCAAACGACGGUGGUCCAAAGUUUUGUGUUCUUGAAUAAUGAGAACUGGGGAAACUUGUGGAUUAAAAUAUGACCGGCCUACCCUUGAAAAGGGGUUAGACUCAUGCGUUCCGUAGGUGAACCUGCGGAAGGUUCAUUAUGUUAUAACCGAGGUGCGAGGGCGGUCGCUGACCCGAAAGGUCGUGCACGCCCGAGUGCCCUCACACACAUCCCUCUCACCCCUAUGUGCACCACCGCGUGGGUCCCCCUUUGGCUUGUUCGGAGGGGGGCUUACGUUUUCACACAAACUUUGUAUGCAGUGUAGAAUGUAUUUUUUGUUUUUGCGACCACGCAAUCAAUACAACUUUCAACAACGGAUCUCUUGGCUCUC
This 539-nucleotide unclassified non-coding RNA is filed under the name plant metagenome. RNAcentral's name for it is "partial contains small subunit ribosomal RNA, internal transcribed spacer 1, and 5.8S ribosomal RNA". The record is from RNAcentral.